GAUGAGAACGUAGUGAAAUGCGAUAAGUAGUGUGAAUUGCAGAAUUCAGUGAAUCAUCGAAUCUUUGAACGCACAUUGCGCCCCUUGGUAUCCCGAGGGGCAUGCCUGUUCGAGCGUCAUUUCACCACUCAAGCCUGGCUUGGUGUUGGGGGACGUCCUCUUUGGGGACGCGCCUCGAAACGCUCGGCGGCGUGGCACCGGCUUUAAGCGUAGCAGAAUCUUUCGCUUUGGAAGUCGGGGCCCCGUCUGCCGGAAGACCUGCUCGCAAGGUUGACCUCGGAUCAGGCAGGGAUACCCGCUGAACUUAAGCAUAUCAAUAAGCGGAGGA
RNAcentral lists this unclassified non-coding RNA (328 nucleotides) under soil metagenome. RNAcentral describes it as "partial contains 5.8S ribosomal RNA, internal transcribed spacer 2, and large subunit ribosomal RNA". The stretch from base 5 to 119 matches the Rfam family "5.8S ribosomal RNA", at positions 40 to 154 of the family's 154-position model. The record is from RNAcentral.